GGCUCUUYGUAAAAUAAAAAUAGGGAGUCGUMCCUGCCCGGUGAAUUAUUUUAACGGCCGCGGUACUCUGACCGUGCAAAGGUAGCAUAAUCAUUUGCCUUAUAAUUGAAGGCUAGUAUGAAUGGUUUGACAAGAAUAUAACUGUCUCUUUUUAAUUGAUUAAAAUUUUAUUUGCAAGUGAAGAAGCUUGCAUGUGAUUGAUAGACAAGAAGACCCUGUCGAGCUUUAAAGAAAUUGGUGGAUUAAAGUUAAUAGAUUUAGAAAAUAUAACUGUUGUAUAUUUUGGUUGGGGCGACUGAGGAACAAGUAAAGCUUCCUUUUAUAAAAAUGCAAAUUAGCAAUGAGCCAAAAAAUUUUGAUCAAAAGAAUUAGUUACCGCAGGGAUAACAGCAUAAUCCUCUUUGAGAGUUCAUAUCGAAAGGGGGGUUUGUGACCUCGAUGUUGGACCAGAAUAUCCUAAAGAUGCAGCCGUCUUUAAGGGUUGGUCUGUUCGACCAUUAAAAUUCUACG
This 510-nucleotide ribosomal RNA is filed under the name Crassicantharus noumeensis. Its description in RNAcentral is "partial 16S ribosomal RNA". It matches the Rfam family "Bacterial large subunit ribosomal RNA", at positions 1817 to 2600 of the family's 2925-position model. The record is from RNAcentral. Lineage: Eukaryota; Metazoa; Mollusca; Gastropoda; Neogastropoda; Buccinidae.